Molecule: ribosomal RNA, 497 nt
Filed under: uncultured bacterium
Lineage: Bacteria
Description: partial 16S ribosomal RNA
Rfam family: Bacterial small subunit ribosomal RNA
Source: RNAcentral
GAUGAACGCUGGCGGCGUGCCUAAUACAUGCAAGUCGAGCGAACGGACGAGAAGCUUGCUUCUCUGAUGUUAGCGGCGGACGGGUGAGUAACACGUGGAUAACCUACCUAUAAGACUGGGAUAACUUCGGGAAACCGGAGCUAAUACCGGAUAAUAUUUUGAACCGCAUGGUUCAAAAGUGAAAGACGGUCUUGCUGUCACUUAUAGAUGGAUCCGCGCUGCAUUAGCUAGUUGGUAAGGUAACGGCUUACCAAGGCAACGAUGCAUAGCCGACCUGAGAGGGUGAUCGGACACACUGGAACUGAGACACGGUCCAGACUCCUAAGGGAGGCAGCAGUAGGGAAUCUUCCGCAAUGGGCGAAAGCCUGACGGAGCAACGCCGCGUGAGUGAUGAAGGUAUUCGGAUCGUAAAACUCUGUUAUUAGGGAAGAACAUAUGUGUAAGUAACUGUGCACAUCUUGACGGUACCUAAUCAGAAAGCCACGGCUAACUACGUG